Molecule: ribosomal RNA, 301 nt
Filed under: uncultured bacterium
Lineage: Bacteria
Description: partial 16S ribosomal RNA
Rfam family: Bacterial small subunit ribosomal RNA
Source: RNAcentral
CAGUCGCCGCGGGAAUACGUAGGGUGCAAGCGUUAAUCGGAAUUACUGGGCGUAAAGCGUGCGCAGGCGGUUUUGUAAGACAGAGGUGAAAUCCCCGGGCUCAACCUGGGAACUGCCUUUGUGACUGCAAGGCUAGAGUACGGCAGAGGGGGAUGGAAUUCCGCGUGUAGCAGUGAAAUGCGUAGAUAUGCGGAGGAACACCGAUGGCGAAGGCAAUCCCCUGGGCCUGUACUGACGCUCAUGCACGAAAGCGUGGGGAGCAAACAGGAUUAGAUACCCGAGUAGUUCCUGUCUCUUAUAC